This is a non-coding RNA of Dermacentor andersoni, 4233 nucleotides long. The record is from RefSeq and is a predicted model, not a curated record. NCBI's taxonomy places the organism in Eukaryota, Metazoa, Arthropoda, Arachnida, Ixodida, Ixodidae.
ACUUUGAACGAUUAUUACAUGUUCUAUGAGUGUGCAUGUGUUCUAAGUGAGGAGACGCGCUGAUAUGACUUGUUGAAGGUCUCGAUACAACAUGGCGCGACAGUUGACCGUCCAGAACCAUUUUGCACGAUCACUGUGUUUCUUCGAGCUUUGUCGUAAUCGAGGCGACUUGAGUGCUCAGAGUCAAGCGAGUGUACUUAAAAAUUAGGAUUUUAUAUAAUGAGGGACUUUGCCGCGUCUUUAAUUGGGCGGAUGUGAGCAUUCGACAUGAUCCCCGAAGCGCAAGCCACUACCAUAAUAGUUACGUGCAGUGCGAGGUGAGCUAAGCUUCGCCGCCUAACCGCGGCCUGAAAAUGUGGCGGCUCGUUAAGGGCUUACUGCGGUGCGCGUGUGUGAGUGUUUGUACAGCGAUCAUUUGAGCGAGAACCGGCGGCGCUUCUUUGUGCGCGGUAUCUGCUAGCUGGCGCGUACGUGGCGCCAAUCCCCUAGCUCGUGCGAUUGUGUGCAGUAGGUCGCCCACUUAGCGCGCAUUGUGCAGAUUUGCCAGUACGCUCCUUUCUAUCGUCUGUGUCUCUUCGCGCCCACGUCGUUGAUUGUGCAGGCAGUGCGCGACUGCGGCACGUAGCAUGUAGAGCCUGCGCCCGUCGACUUUGAUCUACGGGCGUGAAAUGUCGGCGGCGCGUUUGUGGUAUUAAAAGCGUGUGGUGAGCUUCCAACGGCACUACGGGUCAACGCCGCAUGAGCUGCCGGUCAGAGUAUAAGAACCUCUUUAUUGUUAGCGUACUGCUUGGCGGUAACAGGUGUCCUGCUUGGGUUCAGAUUACUGGAUACGCCGUCACUUGAACCUCGGCGGCCGGAGCAGGACUGCGGCUGCGGUCGUUUCAUUGCCAACUGUGAGGAUGAAGCAGCUUCAUGGCCGGAGAUCGGGCGCCUCCCAUCAGUUUCCCUUUUCAGCAAUAGAGGCCUUGGAGGCCUUUCUACCUGCGUUGCAUCCUGUGGCUGGACCACUCCCACGAUCUCGGCAGAAUCGUUACACAGGAAGAAGUCUGGCUGGCCCCAAGCCUGGUGCAAAAUGAAGAAAUGGCACUCCACAUCAAUUCAUGUUUACUUGUCGUCAUAACCAGUCUGUUAGCUUAAUUUUUGGUUCUUCCUAUUGAAUUCUCAAGAAAGGUACCAACUCUGUCAUUCACUCUGCAAACAAAUUUUUGCACUUGGGGAUGCAGCCAUGCACAAAGCCUUUGAGCUCAUUAAUAUCUUUAUUUUUUAAAGAAAGUGCAGCUGCUGCGUGGAGCAAUAGGUUGAAUAAGACGAGGGUAACUGAAAAGAUGGCGAAAUUAGUCAUCAACAGUUGUCCAACAAAGGAAGUCUCAAGCUGGAGGCAACAUCUUUGCAAGAGAACCAAAUGGCUCCAGCCUGAGACAUUCGUUGUUCAACCUGGCAAGUCUCCUUCUCUAAAUAUUUCCUCUAGCCUGAGACCUAUAUCCAUUCCACCACCCUUGACCAACAAUACACCUAUACAUUUGGCAACCCAUGGAAAGGUAGCAAAUUCACAUUCAAGGAAAGGGAAUGUAGUGUGCACCCUGGAAGGUAGCAUGAACAGUAUUUUAUUUACUUAAUGAAAUGCAGAUUUGCUAUCCAAUUACUUUAUUUUGAUCCCCGUUUUAUAAUUGGACAGCAUGGUUCCUCAGAGAGAAUAAUAAUUCGAAGCUCACACAAUUUUGCUCCUUUAUGUCCGUUAAAUCUGUCCUGGUUGCUACGCUAUCAGCCCUGUCUGCAAUUGCGUAGCAGUGUUUUGAGCAUGCAUCCGAAUUCAAAAGAAUAGUUAGGCUUCUACCUCAGAAUGUUUGCUACUGUGUUGCAGCUCGAAUUCUAUGUCUAGGUGGUCACUGUGAUGCCAUGUGCUUUUUAAAUAAGACCAAUAUGCUAUUUGAAGGGCAAUUAAAUGCAAUCUCAAAUGACCUCAGCUCGGGGAAUGACACAAUUGGAGGUCAAUGUGAUAAGGAGGAUUUGAUUUCUGAAAACAAGGCACUUAAACGGGAGAAAGCAUGACUAAUUUCGUAUAAAGAUGCUGCUUUUGGAUAUGAUCAGGGAAGGUACUUGUUCGUGGCUGCAUUUGCAACAUGUUACAUUGCUGGCUUUAUAUAUUGCACUGGGUACAGUGAAAUGUUGCUGCUUGCACAAUAUUCAACUAAACAUGGUAGCCAUGCUAAUGUGUCCAUGCAGAACACAACUCAUCCACUAUUAUGGACUACAGUGGAAUCUCGAUAAACGAAAAUCGCUUCGAAACUGCCGCUUAAAUAGGACACCAUCCUGAUAAUUGGUUGGCUCUCUGCAAUGUCUCUCAGUAAAUAUAAUGCCUGGUAAAUGGAACCAAUUUCCCUGGCACCUUGAGGCUCCAUUUAAAGAGCACCCACUGUAAAAAUAUAGGGGGGAUCGUGUUUGGAACUUUCGUAAAUGUAGUCUUAAACAAAACCGCAUUUCAGUGGGAGCGAAAUGCAAAAGCACCUGUGUACUUAGACAGGUGCAUGUUAAAGAACCCCAGGUUGUCCAAAUUUAUUCGGGUUACUCGCUAUGGCAUGUGUCAUAAUCAGAAGGUGGGUUCUGGUUCGUAAAAUGCAAUAAUUUGUAAUAGCUUGCUCAGAAAUCCAGCAGUAAAUUAUGUAGCUUGUUUGUGUGAUGAGUCCCAAUUUCUUAAUUUAGUACUUUGACAUUUAUCAUAUUUGUGUGCUAGUCCAUGCAAAAUACCACUGAUCGGCCUCAUUAUACCAGCCACUGUUAAUUAGGAAUGGCUUAGUCAAGCAACUUAAACUUACAGCACAAACACCUAAGAUGAACCACAAAAGGAAGAUACAACACACACUGGUGCUAACUUCUUUAUUUCUUCGUCGUCGAUGCAAUAUAAACCCUAGGCCACACUACCGCGCAGGCACUCAGAUUACAUUACAGAGAUCUGCCAAAUUAUCACAUACGCAAGCGUAGGAAGUCAAAUUCAGAUGGAUGCAGGGACAAAGAUAUCUUACUAAUGCAAUUAUCGCCCUGCCUUUCUUGUGGUAAGCCUCUAAGGCAAGCCGCACAUGCUCAUUCUUGCUUUUGCCAAGAAUCGACGUCCCAUUAAGUUGUGCCUCACAAUUGUUGCAAGAGUUUAUAUGCGCACCAAGGUGCGCUCCUCUAUCUACAUUUUUGUUUACUUGUUGCGCAUGUUUCCUGAGUCGCUCAUUGAUGCAAUGCCCUAUCUAGCCAAGCUAUGUCUUAGCACAUGAGAGUGAAUUGUAUAAACCACGCCGACCGCGCACAACACGUAUGAAGCAUCAUGCCGAAUUUGGCGUCCUCCUCUGCCCUCUCCGCAGGUGCGGGAGCAUAGCUUUAAAAGCUUGUUCGGUGCAGAAAAUGCCAAAGGAACACUAUGCCUGCAAGCAAUGUUCUUGAGUUGAUAGAUGACCUUAUGUGUUUAAGGGACCGCGCAGGGAACAUGCACAAAAAGUAAACAAAAAUGUAGAUAGAAGAGUGCACAUUGUUGCGCAUAUAAACUCUUGCAAAAAUUGUGAGGCACGACUUGAUGGGACGUCGAUUCUUGGCAAAAGCAUGAAUGAGCUUGCGCGGCUUGCCUUAGAGGCCUACGACAUAAAAAGGCAAAAUGAUAAUUGCAUCAGUGACAUAGCUUUGUCCCUGCACCCAUCUGAAUUUGAGUUCCUACGUUUGCAUAUGUGAUAAUUUGGGAGAUCUCUGUAAUGUAAUGUGUGCGCCUGUGCAGUUGUGUGGCCUAGGGCAUAUAUAUGCAUCGACGACGAAGAAAUAAAGAAGUUGUCAGUUAGUGCCAGCGUGUGUCGUAUCUGCCUUUUGCGGUUCGUCUUAGGUGUUUGCGCUGUAAGUUUUAAGUUCAGAAUUAUGUGCCAACUAGGCCAAAUGAAGUUUUACUCUUAGUCAAGCGAGCUCAAUAUAUAGUCUGUGCAAAAGUGUGGAGCGUCAGUACAAAGUAACAGUUCAAACACAUGGCUCUGUAGUUACAGUUCAGUAUGAAACGAGAUAAGAUUUCUUAGCAUUUCUUUCAUUUACUAAUUUCAUUGUAUUAGGACAUGUAGAAUACUAGCAACUGGCAUGCUUACAAUGUACAGUGCUCUUUUUUAAAAUCCAGACAAUUGUUUUACUGGGGCAGAAAUGUGCUUUCUUUUGGGCCUGGAAGUGAACAUAUUAUAUUUCUUACAUUUGAUGUAAAAUAAAUUUUCUUCACUGUCA